This 30-nucleotide non-coding RNA is filed under the name Mus musculus (house mouse). Lineage: Eukaryota; Metazoa; Chordata; Mammalia; Rodentia; Muridae. The record is from RNAcentral.
UGAGAGCCUUGAAAGUCUGUUCUUGGUGUC